RNAcentral lists this ribosomal RNA (426 nucleotides) under uncultured eukaryote. Its description in RNAcentral is "SSU rRNA". It matches the Rfam family "Eukaryotic small subunit ribosomal RNA", at positions 592 to 1018 of the family's 1831-position model. The record is from RNAcentral.
CAAUAGCGUAUAUUAAAGUUGUUGCGGUUAAAAAGCUCGUAGUUGGAUUUCUGCCGAGGACGACCGGUCCGCCCUCUGGGUGAGUAUCUGGUUCGGCCUGGGCAUCUUCUUGGAGAACGUAUCUGCACUUGACUGUGUGGUGCGGUAUCCAGGACUUUUACUUUGAGGAAAUUAGAGUGUUUCAAGCAGGCACACGCCUUGAAUACAUUAGCAUGGAAUAAUAAGAUAGGACCUUGGUUCUAUUUUGUUGGUUUCUAGAGCUGAGGUAAUGAUUAAUAGGGAUAGGUUGGGGCAUUCGUAUUUAACUGUCAGAGGUGAAAUUCUUGGUAUUUAGUUAAAGACGGACUACUGCGAAAGCAUUUGCCAAGGAUUGUUUUCUAUUGAUCAAGAACGAAAGUUAGAGGAUCGAAGACGAUUAGAUACCGU